GAUGAACGCUGGCGGCGUGCCUAAUACAUGCAAGUCGAGCGAACGGACGAGAAGCUUGCUUUUCUGAUGUUAGCGGCGGACGGGUGAGUAACACGUGGAUAACCUACCUAUAAGACUGGGAUAACUUCGGGAAACCGGAGCUAAUACCGGAUAAUAUUUUGAACCGCAUGGUUCAAAAGUGAAAGACGGUCUUGCUGUCACUUAUAGAUGGAUCCGCGCUGCAUUAGCUAGUUGGUAAGGUAACGGCUUACCAAGGCAACGAUGCAUAGCCGACCUGAGAGGGUGAUCGGCCACACUGGAACUGAGACACGGUCCAGACUCCUACGGGAGGCAGCAGUAGGGAAUCUUCCGCAACGGGCGAAAGCCUGACGGAGCAACGCCGCGUGAGUGAUGAAGGUCUUCGGAUCGUAAAACUCUGUUAUUAGGGAAGAACAUAUGUGUAAGUAACUGUGCACAUCUUGACGGUACCUAAUCAGAAAGCCACGGCUAACUACGUGCCAGCAGCCGCGGUAAUACGUAGGUGGCAAGCGUUAUCCGGAAUUAUUGGGCGUAAAGCGCGCGUAGGCGGUUUUUUAAGUCUGAUGCGAAAGCCCACGGCUCAACCGUGGAGGGUCAUUGGAAACUGGAAAACUUGAGUGCAGAAGAGGAAAGUGGAAUUCCAUGUGUAGCGGUGAAAUGCGCAGAGAUAUGGAGGAACACCAGUGGCGAAGGCGACUUUCUGGUCUGUAACUGACGCUGAUGUGCGAAAGCGUGGGGAUCAAACAGGAUUAGAUACCCUGGUAGUCCACGCCGUAAACGAUGAGUGCUAAGUGUUAGGGGGUUUCCGCCCCUUAGUGCUGCAGCUAACGCAUUAAGCACUCCGCCUGGGGAGUACGACCGCAAGGUUGAAACUCAAAGGAAUUGACGGGGACCCGCACAAGCGGUGGAGCAUGUGGUUUAAUUCGAAGCAACGCGAAGAACCUUACCAAAUCUUGACAUCCUUUGACAACUCUAGAGAUAGAGCCUUCCCCUUCGGGGGACAAAGUGACAGGUGGUGCAUGGUUGUCGUCAGCUCGUGUCGUGAGAUGUUGGGUUAAGUCCCGCAACGAGCGCAACCCUUAAGCUUAGUUGCCAUCAUUAAGUUGGGCACUCUAAGUUGACUGCCGGUGACAAACCGGAGGAAGGUGGGGAUGACGUCAAAUCAUCAUGCCCCUUAUGAUUUGGGCUACACACGUGCUACAAUGGACAAUACAAAGGGCAGCGAAACCGCGAGGUCAAGCAAAUCCCAUAAAGUUGUUCUCAGUUCGGAUUGUAGUCUGCAACUCGACUACAUGAAGCUGGAAUCGCUAGUAAUCGUAGAUCAGCAUGCUACGGUGAAUACGUUCCCGGGUCU
Molecule: ribosomal RNA, 1372 nt
Filed under: uncultured bacterium
Lineage: Bacteria
Description: bacterial SSU rRNA
Rfam family: Bacterial small subunit ribosomal RNA
Source: RNAcentral